RNAcentral lists this ribosomal RNA (505 nucleotides) under uncultured bacterium. RNAcentral's name for it is "partial 16S ribosomal RNA". It matches the Rfam family "Bacterial small subunit ribosomal RNA", at positions 28 to 507 of the family's 1533-position model. The record is from RNAcentral.
GACGAACGCUGGCGGCGUGCCUAAUACAUGCAAGUAGAACGCACAGUUUAUACCGUAGCUUGCUACACCAUAAACUGUGAGUUGCGAACGGGUGAGUAACGCGUAGGUAACCUGCCUGGUAGCGGGGGAUAACUAUUGGAAACGAUAGCUAAUACCGCAUAAUAUUGAUUAUUGCAUGAUAAUUGAUUGAAAGAUGCUAUUGCAUCACUACCAGAUGGACCUGCGUUGUAUUAGCUAGUAGGUGAGGUAACGGCUCACCUAGGCGACGAUACAUAGCCGACCUGAGAGGGUGAUCGGCCACACUGGGACUGAGACACGGCUCAGACUCCUACGGGAGGCAGCAGUAGGGAAUCUUCGGCAAUGGACGAAAGUCUGACCGAGCAACGCCGCGUGAGUGAAGAAGGUUGUCGGAUCGUAAAGCUCUGUUGUAAGAGAAGAACGGGUGUGAGAGUGGAAAGUUCACACUGUGACGGUAUCUUACCAGAAAGGGACGGCUAACUACGUG